UUAGAGAGAGAGAGAGAGAUAGAGUACAAAAUAAAGCAUGCAGACAUCAAAGUUCAACAAUGUCAUCAAUGUCAUACAAAUUAUAAGAUUUUACCUCUUAAAAGCCUUGUUGGUAACUAAGUAUUUUGAUAACAUUCCCUUUUCUAGGAUAGAUCCCUAACCAUGGUUCAGUUCACAUUCAUUUCAUAAACCCCAAGCCUAACCGAAUGGUGUUCACGAGGAAUCAUG
This 228-nucleotide unclassified non-coding RNA is filed under the name Hevea brasiliensis (rubber tree). The record is from RNAcentral. Lineage: Eukaryota; Viridiplantae; Streptophyta; Magnoliopsida; Malpighiales; Euphorbiaceae.